Molecule: ribosomal RNA, 253 nt
Filed under: uncultured bacterium
Lineage: Bacteria
Description: partial 16S ribosomal RNA
Rfam family: Bacterial small subunit ribosomal RNA
Source: RNAcentral
UACGGAGGAUGCAAGCGUUAUCCGGAAUGAUUGGGCGUAAAGAGUCCGUAGGUGGUUAUUCAAGUCUGUGGUUAAAGAGUGGAGCUUAACUCCAUAAAGGCCAUGGAAACUGAGUAACUAGAGUAAGGUAGGGGUAGAGGGAAUUCUCGGUGUAGCGGUGAAAUGCGUAGAUAUCGGGAAGAACACCGGUGGCGAAAGCGCUCUACUGGACCUAAACUGACACUGAGGGACGAAAGCUAGGGGAGCGAAAGGG